RNA transcript from Brassica rapa (field mustard), 6568 nucleotides. It is a transcript of the gene named F-box/kelch-repeat protein At3g17530, with no coding region annotated. NCBI's taxonomy places the organism in Eukaryota, Viridiplantae, Streptophyta, Magnoliopsida, Brassicales, Brassicaceae. The record is from RefSeq and is a predicted model, not a curated record.
UUGCUGCAAGGCAUAAACGAGUUAACAGAAAAAAAAAAGAAAAGUUCAUAUCCCAAGCCAACUCUAGGCAGAAAAGCCAAAUCUUUCUAACUGAAUCAAAAUAGAAGUGAUGAUAUAAUAUCAAUCUCAAACUCUUACGGCUGCAUGAUAUCGAUACAAAUGCUCCAAAGAAAAGCUCUCAAUAUUUUGCUUUAUGCUAUCUUUGUACAGAAAAUCGAUUAUCAAGAUUGGAGAAAAAGAAAAGAUGGGAAUGAAGAAGGCAGCGGAACUGGAUUUAAAAGACCAAUGAAAGUAUUCAAACCAAGUAGACGGAGACGGAGAGAGACAUACAAAAAGAUCAAAUCUCUACUGGCGAGAUGACCUGAGCUUGAGAUAGACGGAGUCAGGGAGAGAAACAGGGCAUUCAACAGUGAGAGCUUCGGAUUUUCAGAUUUCAAACUCAGUUCAGGUCAAACAUAAACGGGCCGAAGUCAUUGUUUGUGUUACCAACGGUUCAUUCAGUUCCAUUCCAAUUCCCGCCUACAUCAUAAAUAUCAACCGUUAAACUUAUCUCGCCUCCCAUUCUCAUUUUUUGUUGAAUGAAAGAAUAUUUAAAAGUAACAAAUAUUUUUAUAAAAUAUUUUUUUAUCAAUAAAUCAUUUGUAAAAAAAAAUAUUUCUUACCUUUUCUAAAUAUGACUUCACAACCGUCACCUCAAGAAAGCGUCUAGACAAGACUAAUGCAUCUUUCCUUUAAGUUUGUGUCGUUGUCUUUUUUGUGCUGUUUGAGUUUUUCCGCAGGUAAGGCCUCUUUUCUCCUGUGUUUCAUUGUACCGAACUAUUCUUCAAACGUUGAACCUAAAUAAAUUGAUGAGAAGAAUUCACUGUUUCACAAAUAAUUAUUCCUUACUUAAUUCAGCAUAUUUCUUUUGAAAUUAGUCUCCCAGAAAUCUACAUUUUUAAGAAAUAUAUCUUUUCUCCAAAAGAAAGAUAUAAUUUAGAUUUCAAAUUUCAAAAAAAUAUGCAUUUCCCUAAAAUAAAUUUAACAAUUAUCAUACAACUACAAUAAAAGCCCAAUGAAAAACAGUUUUUAGUUUACCUUUGUUUUGGUGUUCAAACAAAAAAAAAACAAAAGUUCACCCUAGUUUAUAUCGUUAUUAGCUCAGAAAUCACUACUAGAAGAAGAUGGUGAUGAUAACCGACCUUACAUUUGAUCUUGAAAAGAAGAUACUCGCCCUUGUUCCGAAAGAGUCUCGACCACAUGCAUGGCAAACUAUUUGCAAGAGAUGGUACGCUGUACGCCAAGAUCUACUCUCCAAGAAACACUUGGCUCGAACAGGAAGAGAGUUCAUCUUAUUGUUGAAUACUAAUGUUUUUUCAACAACCAUCAACCUCGAGGGAGUCCAUAACAACGUUGAUCCAGUGAUGGAGUUCGGAGGUAAACUUGGAUCUUUACAAGAUUCAAAUGAUUUACAAAUACAUGAUAUUUUCUACUGCAAGGGGUUAGUGCUAUGCACUAUGGUGGGAAAACAAAUGCUCGUGGUUUGCAACCCUAGUAACCGUGAAACUAGGUAUGUCGAACCUAGAACAAGUCAUGACUAUUUCGAAUAUGCUCUUGGAUACAAAGGCAGCAAGUCUUCUUGUGUUAAUAGCUACAAGAUCUUGAGGUAUUGUCGUUAUUUCGACAAGCAAGAGAUGCGUACGGUUUCUGAGUUUGAACUGUAUGACUUCAUGUCUGACUCAUGGAGGGUUUUAGAUGUUGAUGAGCACGAUUGGGAAAUAUCUGCUCGUGGCGUCUCUGUGAAAGGAAACACUUACUGGGUUGCUAAAGAGAAUGAAGACCAGUUCAUACUCAGUUUUGAUUUCACAAGAGAGAGAUUUGGGUUUCUCCCUCUUCCGUAUGAGAGUGCUGGUCCUGAAGAUUCCAUGAAUGAUGAGUACGACGAUACAGCUGUUCUGUCAGUUGUUAGAGACGAACAACUCUCAGUGUUACAUCAGUAUCUUCAUUUGGAUUUAUAUGAGAUGAAGAUAUGGGUGAGCAACAUGAUUGGCACCAAAAAGGUGUCGUGGGGCGAGUUCUUGGUAGUGGACGUGGUGUUGUUAAAUGUUGUUAGCUUCGUGGUUGACGAGGAGCAUAAAGUGGCAGUGUGUUGUAGUACAGGCAAGGAUGAUCCUAGUGAUGAUAGUGAAGAAGAAUGCACCAGCAUUUCAAUUAUUGGAAAGAAUAUACAAAGUCUUGUUUAUGAUGAAGGGGCUAUACAUGGAUCAUGGCCACAUCUCAUCAAUUACGUUCCAAGCCCGGUUCAAAUUUUAAGGAAGAGUACGCGCAAAAGCAAAAGGAAACGAACUACAAGGAGGUUAGCAAAUAUAUUAACUAAGUUCCUUUUUUUUUUGCUUUUCUUUGUUCUUAAUGAUCUUACUCAAAUACUUUAUAAUUGCAUUGGAUGCAUAUAGUGAAGAGUAGUUAUUAAGAAACUAAAUAUCAGCAUCUUAUAGCUUCAUAGAUUCAUAUACUUUGUUCUUAAAACGGAAUGCUCAAAAUCUCACACAAAGAGUUUUCUCUUGUAAGAAAAAAAUGCAUGUUUAAAAGACUGCUUAAGGUAUUUAUAUUAUUAUGUUUUGUGUUAGGGUUCUCUUUAACUGUUUCUGAGCUUUAACAGGCAUCAACCGGAGGAGGGCACUUCUGCAAGAAGCGUUGAGGAAACAAAAGUGACACCCAAAGCAAAACCUAAAGCACGUCGAAGUUUCUAGGGUUGCUUUGAAUGUCCCAAAAUGGUUUAGGAAAUGAAAGUGAAACCAGACCUUAAAGCACAUCGAAGUUCUCUUGCUGUUGCUUUGAAUGUCGCAAUGAUUUCUAUCUUUUCUUCUUUUUUUUUUUGGACAAUCCCAAAUGUUGUAAUAAAUUGAAUGCAUAUUGAAGUUUAUUAUCUUAUUUUUGUAAGAAUAACUUUAAUGAUUUCUAUUUGAACAAAAAAAAACUUUAAUGAUUUCUAUUAUGAAAUAAAAUAUGUCCAAGACCAUAUUCUAGUUUAAAUUAAUUCAACCCUAAUGAUUUCUAGAGAAGAUAGAAAGGACUAACCUUGAUCCAUGCUUGGAUGCAAUUCCACCAAUUGAUCUUCUCCCCAUUAACCUUCUCUUUGGUGAUUUCCUUGAUGGAUAAGAAAUCCCAAGCCUUCCUUAAUCUUUCCUUUUAAUAAAUAUUAUUGUUAUGUGUCUUAGAAAGACUCUCACUUACAUACGAACAAAAUUAUGUACGAGUCAUUUUUGUAUAUAAUCAAAGGAUGUGUCUUAACCAACACAACUCUUCCACACAACUACAACACAACACUUUGUUAUUUUAACCGCACAAGUGCAUUAUAAUGUAUCAUCAUAUGUAUAUUAAAUCUUACAGUAAUAUAUUCUAUUAUUAUUACUAUGACUAAGAAACAAACCUGCGCAUUCACACAAGUAUUUAAAUUCUUUACUAAAAAUUAAAAUAUUUUUUUUAAUGGCUAACAAAUUUUAUUAAUAAAAUUUAAGAUUACAAAGUCAACAUCCAGAACUUCCAAACAAAAUUAUUACAUAAGCAAAUAUAUGCGUCAUAUGCUGAGAAAAUAUAACAUGGAAAGUGAUUUUAACGAUGCUUUACAAAAGAAAGAAAAACCAAUCCGUUAUUUCCUUCCCAUGAUAUUAAUAAAAUGUAUACAUAUAAUCUACCAAAAAAUAAAACAAAACAGUAAUUUGUUAAUAAUUUCAUUUAAAAUUAUAAAUAAAAAGACCAAUGAUGACAUUAUAUUAAUGGAAAAAAAUCUUGGAUAUGAAGAGAAUAUUUAAUACAGUAAACAUUUUCACCUCUAUAAAUAUAAAAGAGUGUUCACAGAUUAAAUACAGAUGACUGGUAUAGAGAUAUAAUGUUAAAGAAAUAGAGUGUCUCACAAAUUGCAUAUAAUUUCUAUACAAUUUAUUAGGUUUGCCAAGAUAUAAUUAUCAAAGACAAAUGGUAAAUUAUAAGACACAUUUAAGAAAAAGAGAAUGAUGUGACUAUUCUAAGAUAUGUAACUACUUAGAUGAAUGGAUGCCUUAACUUUUAACUUUUAAUUUCAUUUUAAAAAUAAAUAAAUUUAAAACAUUUGAUUGAAAAGUUUCCAAUAGAAAAUCAUGAUAUGCAAAUUUAAUAGUAGGGAUCCCCAUACUUUAACACAAAAAUACGAAAGAAUUAUAUCAUGAUUAGGUAAAAAAACAGCAGGCGCAUGAAAUAUUAUAUAAUGGAUAAAGUGUCAAAUAUAAGUUACAGAGAGUUCUUUAAAAGAAAAAAAAUGUUUUUAAGAACUGAAUAAGGAAUAGUGAAAAAAUAAAGAAAUCACUAAAUUUUGAUCCGCGCUUCGAAAGCGCGAGUUUUGUUUGGGUUAUAAAUAAAAUUGGAUAUGAAUUAAUAUUUUAGGUAUUUUUCGUCUUUCGGCUUUUCGGGUACUUAAAAAAAAAAUUUGCUCCUAAAUAUCCAAAUUGAGCUAGACUAUUACGUAGCUAAAUUACAUGUAUUUUAGGGUUAUUUGAAUUAUGGAAUCGAACUGAUUCGAUUCCAAAAGGAACCAAACUGAACCAUAACCGGAAAUAUUUCAAAUACCUAAUUGGAUCCAAAUGUCGAGGACUCGAAGAAUUUGGAUUUAAAAGAAAAAAGAAAAAAAAAUUACACGACCUAAACCGAAAACCGAAUGAGUAUUCUAAGAUAUCCAGAAUUUAAAUAUAUAUUAGUUAUAUUUUAAAAUCAUGCCGAUUCAAGUAUUACAAACAUGACAAACAUGUUUUAGAUACAUUGGUUAUUUGGUUAUUUUCAGGUUCAUAUACAUCAGAACUGAACAUAACUGUAUCUGAGAGGACCGACUCGAACCCUACCCAAAAACUCAAAACUCUAAUACCCUAAAGAACUGACUCGUACCCAAAUGGGUACCCGGACGCUCAUUCAUAAACUUAGGCCUGGACGUUUGGGUCUUUAGGUUGGGUUUUGUCCAAUUUUUUCGGAUCUGGGUCCUUCGGAGCCUAGAAAUUUGGAUCCAAUAGGUAUUCGUAAAUUUUUUUUGGGUCUGGAUUGGUUCUGGUCUAUAAUUAAAAUACAUGUACAAUACUCUUAACUUUCCGAUCCAGAUUGAAUUCAUGUAUUUUCGGAUCUUAAAAGUACAUGAUAUACCCAAACCCUAUAAAAUUUAGUCGAAAUUUGUUAUAUAUAUUUAAAAUUCUACAAAAUAACUUAAAAUAAAUUAUUAAUAAUUAAAAUAAAAUAUUUUUAAACUCUAGAUUUUACAUUUUAAGCUUCAUAUUACUUGAAAAUGUCACAAAAUAAUAACAAAGAUUGUUUGUAAAAAGAUAUUUUAACUAAAUCAUAAAAUAAAUAUAGAAAAGAGAACAUAAAAAAUCAUAGUUUUGAAUAUUCAUGUUUUUAAGUCAGGUAUUAAUUGGUUUUUAUCAUGUCGAGUCUAUUUGUUUUUUUUUUGGUUCAGGUUCUUUUGGAUAGAAGAAAUUUUGAUCCAAUACAUACUUUAAAUUUUCGGUUUGGUUUCGGAUCGAAUAUUUUUGAAUCAGUUCCGGUUUCAGAUUUUUGGGUCUGGGUAAAAUGUCCAAGCCUGUUUGAUUUUGAUGAUACAAUAACUUCUUUAAAUUACAGAAAAUUUGUGGUAGUUUGAAGUUUAUAUGUGUAUAUUUUGGUCUAUUUCAUUUAUAAUGAAUAUGAGACUAUAUUUCACAUAUAUUUUAUGCUUCUGUAUAUUGAAAAAUAAUGAGAUCAUGCAAGUAUAUUAUUAGAGUUACGUUUACCAAAGUUGCUAGAUAUUUGGUAAGAUCCAGUAAUCUUAGUUUAAAUAAAAUCCAAAUCAUAUCUAAAGAUCAUAAUUAUAUUCAAAUAUUCAAUCAUCUGAAAAUUAUAAGAAAUUAUCUGAUCAAUACAAUGUUUUUAAACUCGACCCGGACACUGAACCGGACGACUUACCGGGUCGCUGGGUCACUGGAUCGACCGCGGGCGAACCGCGGGUUAAUAAAUGAAUUAAUUUUUUUAUAUAAUAAUAUAUCAGCUAUGUAAAUAAAAAUAUAAAAACUAAAGUUUAAUAUUUUCUUAAUGUUUUUAUAAACAUAAAAUAAUAGUUUGGAUAUGUCUAUUUUUAUGUUUAAUAACAUUUAGAAAAUACUUAACUUUAAUUUCUAUAUUUUUAUUUUCAUUUGAUAUACAAAAUAUUAAAAAAUAAUUUAGACUAUUUAUAAUUUUGUCUAAUAAGAUAAAAGUUAUGAAAUCUAUAAAAAAUCAAGACAUAAAAUUUAUAAAUAUUUAAAUGUUUAAUGUGAAUAAUAAAUUAAAUUUCAAAUAAAAUAAACCAAAAGUAAAAAAUUAUUAUAAUAAAUUAUCAAUAAAAGAAAUAAACUAACACCAAAUCACAUCAACUAGUUUUGGUUUUCUCUACCAUCGUUCACUUUAUUUUCUUCAAGUGGCAUAGUGAAAUCUUCACUAAAAUCUAAAAAUCACAAAUAUAAAACUGAAAAGGAAAAACCUAACUUUUUUUUGUCAGUAUAGAAAUUUUUAAUUGGAAAUUUAGAAUAUAAAACAUAAUUAAAAAAAUUUAAAAAAA